RNAcentral lists this ribosomal RNA (310 nucleotides) under Clostridioides difficile. RNAcentral's name for it is "bacterial LSU rRNA". It matches the Rfam family "Bacterial large subunit ribosomal RNA", at positions 1946 to 2254 of the family's 2925-position model. Lineage: Bacteria; Bacillati; Bacillota; Clostridia; Peptostreptococcales; Peptostreptococcaceae. The record is from RNAcentral.
CGGUCCUAAGGUAGCGAAAUUCCUUGUCGGGUAAGUUCCGACCCGCACGAAAGGCGUAACGAUUUGGGCACUGUCUCAACAACAGACUCGGUGAAAUUGUAAUUCCGGUGACGAUGCCGGAUACCUGCGACAGGACGGAAAGACCCCAUGGAGCUUUACUGUAGCUUGACAUUGGGUCUUGGUACUACAUGUACAGGAUAGGUGGGAGGCUUUGAAACCAGGACGCCAGUUUUGGCGGAGCCAUCCUUGGGAUACCACCCUUGUAGUACUGGGACUCUAACCAUAGGCCAUGAAUCUGGUCUUGGGACAC